Molecule: ribosomal RNA, 464 nt
Filed under: uncultured bacterium
Lineage: Bacteria
Description: SSU rRNA
Rfam family: Bacterial small subunit ribosomal RNA
Source: RNAcentral
AGGAUUAACGCUGGCGGCGUGCCUAACACAUGCAAGUCGAACGAGGUAGCAAUACCUAGUGGCAGACGGGUGAGUAACGCGUGGUCAACCUACCGUUGAGUGGGGGAUAACUAGCCGAAAGGUUAGCUAAUACCGCAUACGAGUCUCGGGGGCAUCCCUGAGCCUUAAAAGGAGCAAUCCGCUCGAUGACGGGACCGCGUCCCAUUAGCUAGAUGGUGGGGUAACGGCCUACCAUGGCACCGAUGGGUAGCUGGUUUGAGAGAGCGACCAGCCACACUGGGACUGAGAAACGGCCCAGACUCCUACGGGAGGCAGCAGUGAGGAAUUUUCCGCAAUGGGCGAAAGCCUGACGGAGCGACGCCGCGUGUGGGAAGAAGGCCUUCGGGUCGUAAACCACUGUCGAAGGGGACGAUAAUGACGGUACCCUUGGAGAAAGCCCCGGCUAACUACGCGCCAGCAGCCGC